CCGUUGCCAAGACUGCCCUAAAGAGGAUCAGCCGCUCCGCCUCGCCGCCGCACUGCCUGGAUCCUAACGCGGGAAGCCGCCAGGAGCCUGUCCCGGACUCCCUAAAUGUCUGUGGCGCCAGAGAGCGGCGGGGAGGGGCCGAGUCUAGGCGAGCCAGGAGGAGCGUGCUGAGUGAUUCAUGGCUGCGGCGGAGGCCAGGCUGCCUUGGCUUCUGUCUUCUUCUGGCUGAUGGGCUAGCAGCAGGGGCACCGCCAAGCCCCACUGAAUGGGCUUCCCUCUCCACCCACACAACAAUUCAAGGAUGCUCCGGGUCAAUUGGUGCGCAACAAGUGUCGUGGCGGCAGCGACGGAAAACUGAGUUUUAACGACGAACUGGGAAAAUUUCAGUAGCUUAUUCUUUUUGACAGCGAAGAGAAAAGGUAUCAAACAGAAUAAUUAAAUGAUAUGGAAACUGCCCAGAGAGAAACAGAAUAACGUUAUGGCAUUAACAGAUCUUGGUUUACAAACAUAAACAAAUACAGGCUGUCCAAUGCAACUCUUCCCCCCUCUAUUUUUUUUUUUACACCAAGAAGCCAAGUAGGGGAGAAAUCAGCACAAAACAGCGUUAUUACAAACAUAUUUUUUCCUCGUGAAAAAAAAGUCCUGCAAACAUUAAAAAAAGAUAAUUUAAACA
Molecule: long non-coding RNA, 673 nt
Organism: Lacerta agilis (Sand lizard)
Lineage: Eukaryota; Metazoa; Chordata; Lepidosauria; Squamata; Lacertidae
Exons: 2
Source: RefSeq, a predicted model, not a curated record